UGGGGAAUAUUGGACAAUGGGCGGAAGCCUGAUCCAGCCAUGCCGCGUGUGUGAAGAAGGCCUUUUGGUUGUAAAGCACUUUAAGCGAGGAGGAGGCUACUUGGAUUAAUACUCUAGGAUAGUGGACGUUACUCGCAGAAUAAGCACCGGCUAACUCUGUGCCAGCAGCCGCGGUAAUACAGAGGGUGCGAGCGUUAAUCGGAUUUACUGGGCGUAAAGCGUGCGUAGGCGGCUUCUUAAGUCGGAUGUGAAAUCCCUGAGCUUAACUUAGGAAUUGCAUUCGAUACUGUGAAGCUAGAGUAUGGGAGAGGAUGGUAGAAUUCCAGGUGUAGCGGUGAAAUGCGUAGAGAUCUGGAGGAAUACCGAUGGCGAAGGCAGCCAUCUGGCCUAAUACUGACGCUGAGGUACGAAAGCAUGGGGAGCAAACAGG
RNAcentral lists this ribosomal RNA (430 nucleotides) under bacterium. Its description in RNAcentral is "partial 16S ribosomal RNA". It matches the Rfam family "Bacterial small subunit ribosomal RNA", at positions 355 to 776 of the family's 1533-position model. The record is from RNAcentral.